Molecule: long non-coding RNA, 1304 nt
Organism: Brachypodium distachyon (stiff brome)
Lineage: Eukaryota; Viridiplantae; Streptophyta; Magnoliopsida; Poales; Poaceae
Exons: 2
Source: RefSeq, a predicted model, not a curated record
CGGGAGACUUACACAGAGGAAACUCCGAGGGCGCACGCAGAAGCAGCAGAGCACGCUGAAGCUACGCUCAAUCGGAAAGGAGAAGAAACUACAAGAAGCAUCAAGCUAGCAGAUUAAGCAUUGGUGGCCAGGAGUGAAGGCCACCUCUAGGAGGAAGCCGGCCAGGAGGUUGACGUGAAGCAGCAAGUCGACAGCAAGCUAACUUUCAUGGCCUUUUUCUCUAAUGGAAACCCAAAGGUUUCUCCGUCGAGCACUGAAGAUUAGCGUCACUGCCCUUCGUCGAGCUCGUCAGCGUGUGGCUCGCGGCAUCUCGGCGUCAUGAAGGAUGAAGCUCGCCAUCAGCUGCAGCCCGUCACCGUCAACAACAACACGACGUCAGCAUCGCGGAGGAUGGAGCUCGCUAACAGCUGCAGCCCGUCGCCGUCAACAACAACACGACGUCGACACCAUGGUGGAUGGAGCUAGACGGCUCCUGCAGCCUACCACGGCGCCAGCGGGGCCUAUCAUCAAUCCAUCACCAUCAAGUCAUCAACGACAAGUCGCCAUCAAGCUAGGCAGAGGAAGGGUUCAUCGGCAGGCACGUCAUCAAGGGCCGUGGCAGAUGGAGCUUGUCAUCAUGCUCAGCGGACUUGCCGGCGUGCAGUCCCUAAGCCGUCGCGUGAAGACGACGAGGUGCUGCGCCCAUUGCUUUGCGGUUCAACCAAGACGAGAAGGCAUGCCGACACCUAUGAUGACCGCCGUGUCAACUCGGCGUCCGACUGAAGGUGUCAUCGCUGGCUGUGCCAACCACGCCGACAAGUGCGCGUGCCGGUUUUAAAUCGGUGCCGGUCUCCACCAAUCACAUACUCCCACGGGACACCCGUCACCUACCCGAUGAAGCUGCUGAUCGUCAAGAAGUCCAAGCGAAGAGGGCCCAUGCUACUACAAUUACAACACCUACGCCGUUCAAGACCGACGAGGCAUGACGGCAGGCGGGCAUGGCCGGAGCAAAGGCCAUGCUCCCUGCGGCGCGUGUACCGACGAGGACACGGACUCUGCCGCCGCCACACACACACAUCACCUCUUCCUCAUGCAUGGGAACUUGAAGCGAAGACUGAAGACGACAACCAUGUGGCUUAAUCGGAGGUAUCUCGCGGCGAAACCCGCGGGAGUAAUUAACCGGGAGCCUUCCGAGGCCCCGGGGACCAGGAGACCGCAAUCGCCAUAGUCAGGCUGGCCGCGCUAGUAGGCCACGGAGCGCAACACGUUCAGGAAUUGUAUUUGUUUAUCCUUGGGAUUAAUAAAAUAUUUUUUCUGCAUUUUUA